Molecule: ribosomal RNA, 252 nt
Filed under: uncultured bacterium
Lineage: Bacteria
Description: partial 16S ribosomal RNA
Rfam family: Bacterial small subunit ribosomal RNA
Source: RNAcentral
UACGUAGGGGGCAAGCGUUGUCCGGAAUUAUUGGGCGUAAAGCGCGCGCAGGCGGUCAUUUAAGUCUGGUGUUUAAGCCCGGGGCUCAACCCCGGUUCGCAUCGGAAACUGGAUGACUUGAGUGUAGGAGAGGAAAGUGGAAUUCCACGUGUAGCGGUGAAAUGCGUAGAGAUGUGGAGGAACACCAGUGGCGAAGGCGACUUUCUGGCCUAUAACUGACGCUGAGGCGCGAAAGCUAGGGGAGCGAACGGG